AGUGAACGCUGGCGGUAUGCUUUACACAUGCAAGUCGAACGGCAGCGCGGUCUUCGGUCUGUCUUCGAGUGGCGGACGGGCGAGUAAUGCAGCAGAACGUGGCCAUUUACUUGUGAUAGGCCGGCGAAAGCCGGAAUAUUACCCUAAUACAGCUGACGGUGAAAGCGGGGGACCGAAAGGCCUUCCGAUAUUGGACCAGCCGAUGUCGGAUUAGCUAGUUGGCGGGGUAAAGGCUUACCAAGGCGACGAUCCGUAGCUGGUCUGAGAGGACGAACAGCCACACUGGGACUGAGACACGGCCCAGACUCCUACGGGAGGCAGCAGUGGGGAAUUUUGGACAAUGGGGGCAACCCUGAUCCAGCCAUGCCGCGUGCGGGAAGAAGGCCUUCGGGUUGUAAACCGCUUUUGUUGGGGAAGAAAUCCUGUGGGCUAAUACCCCGGGGGGCUGACGGUACCGGAAGAAUAAGCACCGGCUAACUUCGUG
This 484-nucleotide ribosomal RNA is filed under the name uncultured bacterium. RNAcentral describes it as "partial 16S ribosomal RNA". It matches the Rfam family "Bacterial small subunit ribosomal RNA", at positions 29 to 507 of the family's 1533-position model. The record is from RNAcentral.